This 497-nucleotide ribosomal RNA is filed under the name uncultured bacterium. Its description in RNAcentral is "partial 16S ribosomal RNA". It matches the Rfam family "Bacterial small subunit ribosomal RNA", at positions 28 to 507 of the family's 1533-position model. The record is from RNAcentral.
GAUGAACGCUGGCGGCGUGCCUAAUACAUGCAAGUCGAGCGAACGGACGAGAAGCUUGCUUCUCUGAUGUUAGCGGCGGACGGGUGAGUAACACGUGGAUAACCUACCUAUAAGACGGGGAUAACUUCGGGAAACCGGAGCUAAUACCGGAUAAUAUUUUGAACCGCAUGGUUGAAAAGUGAAAGUCGGCCUUGCUGUCACGUAUAGAUGCAUCCGCGCUGCAUUAGCUAGUUGGUAAGGUAACGGCUUACGAAGGCAACGAUGCAUAGCCGACCUGAGAGGCUGAUCGGCCACACGGGAACUGAGACACGGUCCAGACUCCUACGGGAGGCAGCAGUAGGGAAUCUUACGCAAUGGGCGAAAGCCUGACGGAGCAACGCCGCGUGAGUGAUGAAGGUCUUCGGAUCGUAAAACUCUGUUAUUAGGGAAGAACAUAUGUGUAAGUAACUGUGCACAUCUUGACGGUACCUAAUCAGAAAGCCACGGCUAACUACGUG